Cygnus olor (mute swan) is the source of this 9455-nucleotide long non-coding RNA. RefSeq lists it as uncharacterized. Lineage: Eukaryota; Metazoa; Chordata; Aves; Anseriformes; Anatidae. The record is from RefSeq and is a predicted model, not a curated record. The transcript has 12 exons.
UUCCUAUUUUCUCACUUGGAAUCUGUUUUGGGAACUUGGAAUUGCUAUCUCACUGAAUCAGUAACAUCUGUGACUGCAGGGCAGCCCGAGUGGGAAUGGUUAGGGGGUUAGGCAGAUUUCCUGCAUUUCAAGGCUCUUUUCCUCUGAAGAGACUGCUUUGGGACAAUCCAAUUGCAUUUAAUGCUGCUUCUUUCCUUUUCCUUUUUUUUUUUGUUGUUGUUUUAACCCCAUCUUUUCUCCCUUUUUUUUUUUCCUCUCCCCAGCCCCACCCAAGUUGUUUGGGUUUAAGAAGUAAAAAUGAUUUUAAGGAUGCAUGCCAGCAUUUUGAAAAGUUUCUGUUUCAAACACAUGAAAAGAAAAGUCUGAAGGGAUUCCUAGAACUGUAUUGCAGCUUGCAGCAUGUUCCUCUCCAUGAGGAGUGACCUUAGCCUGUCUGUGUGCCAGGGGAGCGAUCUCCAUCUGUUGAACACUUGUCACAUGAACCAGUGACCUACACCGAUGUAACACCCUACAACACCUGCGAGCUGCUCAACCGUGGCCGCCCCGGCCGCUGAGAGACAUGGAGCAAGAAGCACCCGCGACAGCUUGGAAGAAACUGGGUCACUUUUUUUAUGUACCUUAAAGACAAAAUAUGAAGCAAAAUUCCUCCUGGUAGCUGUGAAGCUGGAAGCAAUUUCGAGCCUUUUUUUUAAACAGAAAGGCUGCUCUUGCCUUAGUUCACAGAAAUUAACACUGAAACAUUAGCCUGUCAUCCACCGAGUGCUUUAACUGCAUAGAAGAAGGCACCUGGACUCAAAAGAUCGAAGCUCUGCUCGCUUUUCUCAAGUUGGAUAUUCUGCUGUUUCUGGUGUGUCUUGAACAUGUAGAAGCAGCAGAACUUGUCUCGGGGAAUAAAGGCAUCACCACGGGAAGGGGACAGAUGGUACAUGUUCCUGAGACCCAGCGACGGAUUGAUGCUCCUAAGGAGAGCUGUUCCCACAGGUGGAAGCGCUUUUAAAUGAGCUGGUGGCACAGAAAGUUGGGGAAGGAAGGAACGCCUCGGAAGUUUGAUUGCCAUUUCUUGUCUGGCAAAGUCAAGUAUAUUGAUGAUGGCUGACUGUUUUUGGAAGAAGACAAUGUGAGGCUGAGAGCUUACAGGUUUACUGGACUGGACACUAUCGUAGAAAUACUUGUUCCUCACAUACAGAUGAGGAAGCUGGAGUCAAGUAUUGCUCACUUUGGACAAAUGCCUCUGGAAGUCCCCAAAUUGCUUUGCACAUCUAACAGAUUGGACAGAAGCAGCUCAGCUUCCACAAACAGCAGCGUUGGGCUGGGUACGGUCUGCCUGCAUGGAUCAUGUCUUUGGAGACAUUUGUUUACUGCUUUAGGCCACUUUAGUGGCAGAGGAGAAGGGGUGUUUACCUGAGUAUCUGCAAAAUGUAAGCAGAAGGAAAGGUGACUAAUUUUAAAUCAAGCAGUAUACGUUCAUAUAAGCUUAUUUUUGGAUUUCAAACCUUUUGUUAUAAAUACAUUGCAUAGAUUAUUAACAAAGACUUAUUUUUUUUGCGUUUGCAUCUAGGUUUGUUCAGCAUCUUGGAGAUUUCUUUUGAGAACAGUGGUAAAGCCUUAGAACAAAACGGAUGUGAAGCAGGUUUUGGGGUCAUGAAACAAGUACAGACUUCUUAGACAGAAUAGAUUUUUCCAGCCAUCCAAGUAGUUACAUUCACAUAAGAAUUGUUUAAAGACAAUAUUUUCUAAGGGUGUUUAUAUCCAGAUGAUGUUAGAGAAACAUGUACAAUGAAGACUAACUGAAAAUAAAGAUCAGAACUUCUUCACCCUUUCUAGGUUUCUUACAGGAAUGGUAAUUCUCUCUGCAAUAACGUACAGCACUGUUUCAUGGGAUUGGCAAUGCUUAAAUCUGAACUCAUUCAAAAUGAACACUCAAAAAUACUGUACAGUUGGGAUUUUCUUAACCCCAUGUAUAUCACUGUGGAUUUCCCCCAUGCUAUACAGGCUGAAAUUUUUCAAAUCAAAACCGUCUUCAGUAAGGACUCCCGUGGUGCAUAUCUUCCUUGCAAAGGGCAGAGAAGCAGUGACAGGUGGGAAAUAUAGUCUUGAGAGGCAAUUUUUCCUAGGAGAAAUACUUUUAUUUCAGGAUGAAAUAUUUCAACUUCAAAUGUCUUAACUUCUUUCAAGUUCUUUCUCUACAGGAUUGCUCACCUAGUGCUAACACUGGUCAGGUUUGCCAGAAGCCCUGUGCACGUGCUUGAAGGUACACACACUUCCAAUGACUCUCUGUAGGGCACUGAUGUACACAGAUAUCUUCAUACUUCAGUUCAUAUUUACACAUGUAUUACCACCUCCUCCUUUUAGUAGGGAUGGUUAUCUAGAACUGCUAAUUGUCGUAAACAAAGGGUCAACAAAGGGUGGUCCAUUAGAAAUGCUUUCGCAGGAAAUGAGACGUAACUUCUUUAAAUGUGAAAUAAAGCUCUUUGUAAAUUGUUUCCUUUAGUUAACCAAACCAAACUACAUUACCUAGUAACAGAGCCUGCCAUCCAGAGGCAAAAGAAAUAUGUGGCAUGAAGACUAACUGUGAAGAUUUCCUGGCUAUCGGUCUAUAUGAUACCAGUACCAACCCCAUCACCCAAGAUGGGUGACAACCCCAUUCUGUUAGAAAUUACCAGUAAGAAACAGCCCAUUUCAAUCAAGAGUGACAGCAGAUAAUGGCUGUUUGAGAUCUAAUUAAUGAUUCUCUAGACAAGUGGUAAGGCCUUGCCAGCUGCACCUAAGCUGUACCGGUGUACUGGCCAAUGCUGUGCUGCUGGGCAGGAGCUGGAUGUUGUGGUUUUCUGGUGUCUGGGCUUGUCAUACCUCUCUGUGAUCAGCAGUCUGAAAUGCCUUCUGUGACUAGGUGAUAUCAAUAGGAAUUAGUGGUCUAAUGCUGUUCAUUGAUAGUUAUAGAGAUAGAGAGUACCUGAGAUUGCCUGCCUGAACUUAUAAAUGCAUGUCAUUUAUAAAAAGUAGGGGGCUUAGCUAACAUUUCCUUGCCUGCUAACUGUAUCUUCAUCAGAAUCAGCUACGGCCACUCCUGCAUACAGACAAGAUCACUGCUGUGAAUUUUGAAAACCCUGUGGGCUGUGAUCCCCGUGGAGGGUGUAUGCACCUUUCCCACUCAGAAUUCAGGUUGCGUACGGCUUUUGAAGUUUUCAAGGGCUUAUCAUUCAUGCCAUGUCUUCCUAUGUGUAACUGGCAUUACUAAUAAAAAACAGGGGCCCAAAUCUGGCAAAUUAGUUAUUGGAUUGCUCCAUUCAUCUGUGCUAACCUAUGUAUCGCCCUUCUUUGUACAGUUGUUCAAGAGGUUAAUGGAUAAUCCUGCCCCUGUGAAUAGGAAUGUUGCCAGCAACAACAACUGGGACAAGAUUAUUGACUGUCUGAGGCAAAGCUUAGAAGAUAAUUGUUGUGUUUAAAUGCUAAUUCUAUAGUAUUAUCCCAGUAACUUGUUGAUGCAUCUAAGAGUUGCUUGAUGUCUAUCUAUACACACCUACACAUGUGCACACACUUGCCUGUGGGAAUUCACAUGCUUCUGCUGAUAUGUAUGCAAAAGAUUCGCUGUGUUUUCUUAUUUGUAAACAAAAAAUGAUUGGAUUUACGUCCUGAUAAAGGGAGCCAUUCCAAACACACCACCAAUUUAUGACUAUGUUCAUCUUGCAAGCUGAUCAGUUCAUCCUUGUGCACUUGCAGCCACGGUUCAAGAUGCAGAAGAUGCAGAAAUGCCACAGGACGAGCUAGGGCUGCAUGUUACCAACCCCCCACUACAGGAAUACUUCACCCAUUGGGAGAAGCAUACGCAGACCAUUACAUCCUUCACUCGGCAGGGUUUGUAUGACAUGAGAAUUGCUACCUGCCACCCAAUGUGUCUCAUGCUGGGAGACAGGACUCUGAAGUACUGGAGCCUGGCUGUCUGCAGUCAGGGCUGCUGUACCACAUCCAAAGCAAGCUCGCCAGUCAGCAAAUGCUGCAUUAAUCUUUUGGGGAGUGUUUGUUUUGCUUGUUUUGCUAGGCUGAGUUUCAAGCAACUGAUAAUGUGUUUGUGAGCAGUUCUCCUGUUGCAGCCCAUUUUUCAAAGGAAGUGUGAAGACCGAUGCUCCCAAGGUUUGGUGGAACAUGGGUGUGAAGGGUUAUAUAUGAUCCUGCUUCGAUGUGUGAGCGUACAAGGCUUUCAAGUGCAUGGUAAUAUGUCUGUGCAGGUACAUCUGCGAUAGUGGAGUUACAGCUCUGUGUGAAGUCUGAUGAGUGUUUUUAAAAAUAUGCCUUGGUCGUGGUUCUUCUCUAUGGGUGCCAAUUCCACUCAUGCAGCUACCUCACUGCAAGUGAGAUGUGCGUUUGCUUGCUCAGUAAUAGUCAAAUUUUCAAACUGCUGAAGGAUAAACUCUGAAACCUUCCGAGAAUUAAAUUAGAUAACCACUUUAUUGCUUAACAGUUUAUGAGUAUAGAAAUGCCUGGAAUUUCAGGAGGAAAAUGACAAUGUAUAUGGCUUGUCGCUACUUGCAGUGUCACUGCUCUGUCCAGCUGCAUUACUGUUGUUAUAGUUCUCAUAGGCACUUAAAAUUACAUCCUUCAAUACAUUUAUGCAUUUAAUUUCUCCAAGCAAAAAGGAAUUUAAAUACCUUUUAGGAUGUGGAAAGUUAGAUAUGAUUCCAGAGCCUCCCAGAUGUGUAGGACCUUAAAAACAAGAAACAUUUUUCAGGACUUUUUUAAGCUUACUCUCCAUUGUUAUUAACCUAAUCUUUCACCUUUUCCCAGUCGCAAUAAAGAUGAUUUCAAAGGCAGAAAUGAGAAAAAAUGUAUUCUUUCAAAUCUACCAGUUUGGGGGCCUGUUGCACACAUUUUUCUGUUUCUUUGUGGUUUUAAAUUACAUUUCUGCUCUGAAGUCAAAUCAUCCGUUAACAUGUUGGUCUGGAAGGCCCCAAAGCUGCUGCAGACCUGGCAUGCAGCAAGCAGGCUGGCUAAAUGGGGAAAGCUGUCGCUCAUCCUCGCCUGCUGCAGACACAAGUGCUGUGAGAAUUCCCCUGGUGCAGGAAAGUGUUGUGGUAUCAGACUCAACAUUUAUUGGUGUAGUAACAGGAGAGUUCCUUCACGCUCAAAUUAACAUUAUAAAACUCCCCUUCCCCAAAUCAGCUGCUUAAAUUGGAUUUAAGGGAGGGUUUCACGUCUUGUAUUUUUCUGUGUACCUCCUUGUGAAGAGUAAUGCCAAUCCUUAUGCUCAGUCUUCAACAGUACUAUGUGUGAUAGGGUUGGGCUGCGUAGGACAGUUGUGUCCUAUCACGUAGGGUGCUGUACAGACUGCUGCUAAUGAUAACGGGGAUGCUGUCCAGCUCUUUGUAGUGAAAGGUCCCCAAUAUGGACAGACCACAGCGUGAGGAAUGUAAUAUCAGAUGUGUUAAGGUGUGGGAUGCAAUCCAGUGCCUACAAAAUAAAAGCACGAUUCCUCUUGCAGAACUUAUCCUCAUAAUUUUCCUGAGCAAGCUUUGAUUCUUUUGUGUGUAUUCUAGAAAAAACAACAGGAGUGCUUUGGAAAAACAAAAGACUUUCAUAUGCUCUGGAAUUUCUGCAGUGAGAGUGUGCAGACUUGAGGCUAGUUACUGAGAACAGUCCAAUGUAUAGCUGAGGGUGAAAAAAUAGCCAUGUCACUUCUUUGGAACCUGAUCUGAAGUUCACUGAAGUGAAUGAAAAGGCUCCUGUUGGUUUUAAGUGGAUCCAGCCUUUACACAGUGAACAGAAGACAUGUGUCUUAUCUGCUUAAAUGUGAAAAUGUUAUUGGUAAUUUAUGUUGAUAGAAAGAGCACAUAGUAACUUUCUUCCUGCAUUUAUAUAACAGGAGGAAAAAGCUUCAAGUGCACAGUAAAAAAACAUCAAGGAUGCAGUUGCUUAUGGCCAGCACGAUGACUGUGACACAACCGAGGAUUAGGCUGUUUUAAGAAUAUUUGAUGGAAGGUAAAACAUUAGACACAGGUUUCCCAUUACCAUCCUGCCUAAAGAUGACAGCUCACCACUCUUGGUGAGACGUGUCAUCGCCAAGCUUGCAGAAGGGGAGAUGGUUCUUACUGAAACACUUGUGCGAUGUCUUCUGAUUUUGGUUCAAGUGACACAGCAUUCAAAAGAUUUGAAGGCCAUGCAGAAGAAUAUUGCAGAGCAGGAAAGUGUGCAGGGAUGGCUGAAGCCACUCAUCAGUAACAAAAAUAACAUGAUGCUUCAUAUGUGUAGGUCCUGCUUUACUUUAAUAAUUUGAUUAAAAUAACAGACUUGCUGUGGAUUUUCACCAGUAUUAAAUCAGGUGAGAGUAAAAGAAAAAAAAAAAAAAAAGCUUUUUCUUUUCUUUAGGUAUGCUGACUCAAUUUGUUUGUUUCUUGGGAAUGCUGAAACAAACAAACAAAAUGAAUAGAAAUGUCAAGACACUGGAUGAAACCAACAUCAAAAGAGAAUUCUUUUGAACUGAUGAGCUGACAGCUGAAACGGUAGCAGCAGGGCAGCAUCAGUCGGCAGUCAGAUACUGUAUGCUGGAUCUCCACAUUUUUUAGCCAUCUUUGAGACUGAUGCCUUGCAUUACAUGAUCAGAAAACCAAUUGCAGGAGGAAGUCCCUGGAACUACACCACUUGUUGUCAAAGAAACUUGCACCGUCACAAGGCAUCACCUCCGCUUUCCAGACACCGAGUCUCCAGACAAUUAACUCACGUCUGCUGUUACUACGUUGUUUCUCUCACACUUCUCCUGGAUAUGUAUGAAACUGUCGAGCUGAAUUACACUUUAUAAGGUGAUAGGGAAAAGAUCUAACAUCUAUUUUUCCCUCUUGCAGAUUUUAUAGUGUGGGGGACGCUAAUUUUUACAGCCUAAAACCAACCAAACAAAAGAAGUUCUGCUGCUCCUGAACUGACAUCUUCCAGGUACCAGCAUGAUGAUUCAGAAACCCUUGAAGAUAUAGUCAUAUUUUCAGCAACAGAUGGAUUUAACACUGCAGAUGGAGUGUUAAGAGUGCAGACUAUGGGGGUGAGUGCGAGCCCCAGAGCCGUGGCAGGGAUCACAGGCAGGGCUGGGUGUCCAAGCCAGGACCACCUCCGAGCUCUCCCUGCACCAUGUGCCGAAGGUGGUGGCAUGGAGCUGACUGAUGUACGUGACUGCACAGCUCCAGCAUGGGGGUGAUACAAAGGACAAGAGUCGUGGUGGAUCAAUUGUCCCAACUGGAUGCGAUCUGAAGACCUGUGUACAUACCGAGCACCGUCCUUUCCUGGGCACCUUCAGUCCAUCUCUGAUGGAGGGACAAGAGCAGCGAAUAGUUUGUCUUGGUGAAGCUCUUCAUCCACCUCUACAGCCUUGUGCUGCUCUCCCAGUUUAUGAUCUGAAUCAUGCUUCCCUGCCCAUUGAUAACCAGUGGCCCAAGACUCAUGUGGGAUUUGCUCAAGAGUUCCCGUUCAGAGAUGCGUGCUGGCAAGUUGCAAUACCACUGAGAACGGGAGGUCCGGAGCUGCAGCAGGAGUAAGGAACUUGGAAAAUGCAACUGGUGCGGAAGAGCGAACAAGAUGUGUUUGUGGUGGAUGGGGGAUCUUAAGCAUGUAUGCACUUGAAAUAUCUGAAUGUUUCUGAUGAAGAAGACCCCAAGGACCCUAACCUCAUGUCAAAGACAAACCCUCAGUAUGCCUUUCUAGAGAAUGCUCUUCCUUCAGCUGGAUACAAGGAAAUCAAUUCUAAGAUUGAUGACGGAUGCCACCGUACAUGCAUGAUGACACAGAAAGCCUAGAGGAUAGUUUUACCGUGCAGCUGACAGAUGGCAAGUGCACAGUCCAAGGGACACUUUACAUCUACAUCACGCCAGUCAACGAUGAAAUCCCUCAUCUUUCCAGGUCCUCUCUUCUGCUAUCCUCCUUGAUCUCUGAUCACUUUUGGAAAUGGUCUGAAAAGGAGUCCCUGUUCACUGAGAUCUCAUAAAAAUUUAGACUCCUUCAAAGAUGCAACCCAAAAGUAAGAGCCCUCAACUUCUCCAACACGGCGUAAAUGAUUUGUCCAAUGCCAGCUGCUCCACGCUGGUGACAUUGUUCUACUCGCCAAACCUGUAACUUUAACAGAGGGUGACAGGGUGACCUUGACGACAGAUGUUCCUGUGGCAACAGAUGGCACUAGCAAACCCGAGAAGCUGCUGUACGCCGUCUCCGUGCCACCUGUGCAUGGUCAGAUUGAGCACAUCAAUUAUCCCGGCGUGCCCAUUUCCAGAUACAGCCAGUUGGGUGGGGUGGCCCAGAAGGUCCCCUCCAUCCAUGACAAUAGCCACGAGGCCAGGAAGGAGGCACUCAGGUGAGAAGACCUCCCCUUUGCACACCAGCGUGCUUGAAAGCCCUCGGCGAGCUAAGGGUUAAGCUUGCAUCUCUCGUGUGGUAUUUAACAACCAAUAUGGUUGUGCAAAAGAGACUGCUGCAAACAGGAACACGAUGUAAUUUUACCAUUACAGUAAUUACAUACUUUAUUAACUGUAAUAGUGAAGUUGUACGGCCAAAGGCGAUGGGAGUCUUGCAGGCUUAGUACAGGGGUGUAUCCAGGUAGGCUUUCGUGAUCGAUUAGCAAGUGAAAUCAAACAGUUUAGGUUCAUAUAAAGAGUUCGCUGUGCUUCUCAAGGUUGCCAGCAGUGGAAAAGGAAAAAGCAAAAAAUACCCAUCUGCAACUGUGGUUGCUUUCUGGGCAGUUCUUUCUCCUGAAGGGGAAAAAAAAUAAUAAUCGUAACAUUGUCUGAAAUGAUCAGGAGAACUUAAUCCAGAUGGUGGUGUCAUUUCUAAGAAAAAGCAUAUGUUGGCCAUUAUGAUACUUAAAUAUAAUGGUUUUACAUUCCUCUAGUGGGCACAAAAGGCACACAACAGAGUUGGCGGGGUUUUUUAAUCUUCUGAAUGGUGGCAGUGGUGGUGGAGUGGUGGGAGAUUUUAUCUUCCAAAUGGUGCGUUUCCCAGAAGAUAUGGCAAAUUCAAUUGCCGAGAGCCUGCUGUAAAAGCCGUGCUCCCGUGGAAUGUAAAUUCGUGCAUUACUCUAUCCAGCAACAGUGGAGAGGCUUAAUUUACUGCCCCCUUUGGAUUAUCAUUAUUUUAUACAUAUUCUUCCGGCUUCUUCUUUUAUUUUUCCCCUUUAUUUUUUAUUUUUUUUUGCUUUAACAUGUUUUUCUUUCUGAUUUGCUUUAAAAGUUAUUUACGCUCCCUUUGCAGCAAAGUGGGCACUAUAACUAAUUUUAUUCUUACCAUGAUUAACUAUGAAUAAUUUCCUAAGAAAUGAGUCAAAUUAACAAGGGGAAGAAGGAAUCAAUAAAUCAUGAAAGCAGACUAUUUCUAAGUGGGGUUAAAACCACCAUUAAAUAAAUCACAGACUCUAAAUGAUGACCCACUUGGAUAUGGGGAUGGGGGAAGGGAAAUGUCCAUUUAAAUUGCAGUGAAAGGAAAAAUGAGAA